RNAcentral lists this non-coding RNA (187 nucleotides) under Oscillospiraceae bacterium. RNAcentral's name for it is "6S RNA". It matches the Rfam family "6S / SsrS RNA". From Rfam's summary of the family: E. coli 6S RNA was the first non coding RNA to be sequenced, but its function was unknown until recently. It consists of 184 nucleotides that fold into an extended hairpin structure with a large single-stranded internal bulge. Lineage: Bacteria; Bacillati; Bacillota; Clostridia; Eubacteriales; Oscillospiraceae. The record is from RNAcentral.
ACAAUCCUGCUUUGUUCGAUUUGUUGCAUUCCAUUAUUUCCGUCAAAGAACAAAAUAGGGAUUCCUACGCGAGACUGCGGAUUGCAUAUUCACCUUGAAGUGAAGAGCGCGAACCAGUCCGGGGGUUUUACCCACCGUCUACAGAGGCGGGGUUCUAACGGAGUGCAGACGGCAUAGCAGGGUUUUU